This 450-nucleotide ribosomal RNA is filed under the name uncultured bacterium. RNAcentral describes it as "bacterial SSU rRNA". It matches the Rfam family "Bacterial small subunit ribosomal RNA", at positions 355 to 825 of the family's 1533-position model. The record is from RNAcentral.
UAGGGAAUAUUGCACAAUGGGGGAAACCCUGAUGCAGCGACGCCGCGUGAGUGAUGAAGGCCUUCGGGUCGUAAAGCUCUGUCGUAUGGGACUAACAAAAUGAAGGUACCAUGCAAGAAAGGAUCGGCUAACUUCGUGCCAGCAGCCGCGGUAAGACGAGGGAUCCUAGCGUUGUUCGGAAUCAUUGGGCGUAAAGCGGGUGUAGGCGGACUUUUAAGUCAGGUGUGAAAUCCCAGGGCUCAACCCUGGAAGUGCACUUGAUACUGCAAGUCUUGAGUGUGGUAGAGGCUAUUAGAAUUCUUGGUGUAGUGGUGAAAUACGUAGAUAUCAAGAGGAAUACCGGAGGCGAAGGCGGAUAGCUGGGCCAACACUGACGCUGAGACCCGAAAGCGUGGGGAUCAAACAGGAUUAGAUACCCCCGUAGUCCCUGAGCGGGCUGGCAAGGCGCAU